GGGCUAUAUAUAGUUUUAAUAUUAUUUAUGAGAAUUAUGAAACUCUAUGAUUCUGGUUAAUAAAUUAAGAUUAGCAAAUGGAUUCGAAAAAAUAGCAAAAUUUCACAAGAGACAAUCUUUGUCGUGUAUUCACUAUACAAGAAGUCUUAAAGUGAAACUUCAACUGAACAGUAAAUUUGACAUUGAAUCUUACCGGAUCCUACUCAACUAUAUAUAAGAAACUUUUUCACAAGAGAUGUUUCGAUUUGUAAGCAAUGUACAUGACAACUUUUGUGAAAUCUUCUCAAUUUUUUAUCACGGCCUCCACAUAUGAUAUCAUGACAUUUUGAGAAAUCUCAUGAUUUUUAGAGUUUGUUUGGUUUUUAUAGAAUUUAAAAAUGACUAGGCCACAACAUUGUUCUCAUGCUUCAUGAGCAAGAUGUUUGAAAUUUGAUGUAACUUCCUAUAUUUGAACUUUAUUCGAUUUGAAAAAACAUGAAUAUCAUUUUUCCAUUCAUUUUUUCAAAUUACUUGAACCACCUGGUGUUUAAAUUUGAGUUAUCCCCAAAAAUUCAAUUAAAUGGGCUAAAUUAACUAAAUAUAGCAAAUAGAUUGAGAAUGAUAUAAAACUUUGACAUAAAGUUAAGGUUACCUAAUGAUGUUAGGAGAAAAAGUUUUGAGGUUAGAAACAAAAAAAAACAAAAAAUAUUUGCCGAGUAUCCAAGCAAAACACUAGGCAAAAUGGUAACUUUGCCUAGUGCCAGGAUAAAACACUAGGUAUACUUUGAACUUUGCCUAGUGUCAGUACGAAACACCAGGCAAAAUGUAACUUUUCCGAGUGUCUAACGAGACACUCGGCAAACCCUAACGGUGGUUGGGACGUGCAUGCU
This 869-nucleotide long non-coding RNA is filed under the name Sorghum bicolor (sorghum). RNAcentral's name for it is "long non-coding RNA (SBIC_LNC017182)". Lineage: Eukaryota; Viridiplantae; Streptophyta; Magnoliopsida; Poales; Poaceae. The record is from RNAcentral.